CAAAGAAUAGUUUAAAUUAGAAUCCUAGCUUUGGAGCCUAGG
RNAcentral lists this transfer RNA (42 nucleotides) under Oreochromis korogwe. Its description in RNAcentral is "partial tRNA-Pro". The record is from RNAcentral. Lineage: Eukaryota; Metazoa; Chordata; Actinopteri; Cichliformes; Cichlidae.